GAAAAGGUUUUUCUAAAAACCCUCAAUAAUAACAGAAUGUAUACUU
Strongyloides stercoralis is the source of this 46-nucleotide non-coding RNA. The record is from Rfam. Lineage: Eukaryota; Metazoa; Nematoda; Chromadorea; Rhabditida; Strongyloididae.